ACGCACAGUUUAUACCGUAGCUUGCUACACCAUAGACUGUGAGUUGCGAACGGGUGAGUAACGCGUAGGUAACCUGCCUAUUAGAGGGGGAUAACUAUUGGAAACGAUAGCUAAUACCGCAUAACAGUAUGUAACACAUGUUAGAUGCUUGAAAGAUGCAAUUGCAUCGCUAGUAGAUGGACCUGCGUUGUAUUAGCUAGUAGGUAGGGUAAAGGCCUACCUAGGCAACGAUACAUAGCCGACCUGAGAGGGUGAUCGGCCACACUGGGACUGAGACACGGCCCAGACUCCUACGGGAGGCAGCAGUAGGGAAUCUUCGGCAAUGGGGGGAACCCUGACCGAGCAACGCCGCGUGAGUGAAGAAGGUUUUCGGAUCGUAAAGCUCUGUUGUUAAGGAAGAACGAGUGUGAGAAUGGAAAGUUCAUGCUGUGACGGUACUUAACCAGAAAGGGACGGCUAACUACGUGCCA
This 470-nucleotide ribosomal RNA is filed under the name uncultured Streptococcus sp. RNAcentral's name for it is "bacterial SSU rRNA". It matches the Rfam family "Bacterial small subunit ribosomal RNA", at positions 59 to 510 of the family's 1533-position model. The record is from RNAcentral. Lineage: Bacteria; Bacillati; Bacillota; Bacilli; Lactobacillales; Streptococcaceae.